This 534-nucleotide ribosomal RNA is filed under the name uncultured bacterium. Its description in RNAcentral is "bacterial SSU rRNA". It matches the Rfam family "Bacterial small subunit ribosomal RNA", at positions 777 to 1308 of the family's 1533-position model. The record is from RNAcentral.
AAUAGAUACCCCGGUAGUCCACGCUGUAAACGGUGGGUACUAGGUGUGGGUCCAUUCCACGGGUUCCGUGCCGUAGCUAACGCUUUAAGUACCCCGCCUGGGAGUACGGCCGCAAGGCUAAAACUCAAAGGAAUUGACGGGGCCCCGCACAAGCGGCGGAGCAUGCGGAUUAAUUCGAUGCAACGCGUAGAACCUUACCUGGGUUUGACAUGGAUCGGGAGCGCUCAGAGAUGGGUGUGCCUCUUUUGGGGUCGGUUCACAGGUGGUGCAUGGCUGUCGUCAGCUCGUGUCGUGAGAUGUUGGGUUAAGUCCCGCAACGAGCGCAACCCUUGUUCACUGUUGCCAGCACGUUUAUGGUGGGGACUCAGUGGAGACCGCCGGGGUCAACUCGGAGGAAGGUGGGGAUGACGUCAAGUCAUCAUGCCCCUUAUGUCCAGGGCUUCACGCAUGCUACAAUGGCUGGUACAGAGAGUGGCGAGCCUGUGAGGGUGAGCGAAUCUCGGAAAGCCGGUCUCAGUUCGGAUUGGGGUCUGC